CAUGGGCCCUUGCUUAACACAUGCAAGUCGAACGGUGAAGCCCAGCUUGCUGGGUGGAUCAGUGGCGAACGGGUGAGUAACACGUGAGCAACCUGCCCCUGACUCUGGGAUAAGCGCUGGAAACGGCGUCUAAUACUGGAUACGAACCACGAAGGCAUCUUCAGUGGUUGGAAAGAUUUAUUGGUUGGGGAUGGGCUCGCGGCCUAUCAGCUUGUUGGUGAGGUAAUGGCUCACCAAGGCGUCGACGGGUAGCCGGCCUGAGAGGGUGACCGGCCACACUGGGACUGAGACACGGCCCAGACUCCUACGGGAGGCAGCAGUGGGGAAUAUUGCACAAUGGGCGCAAGCCUGAUGCAGCAACGCCGCGUGAGGGAUGACGGCCUUCGGGU
Molecule: ribosomal RNA, 389 nt
Filed under: Microbacterium sp. LL1
Lineage: Bacteria; Bacillati; Actinomycetota; Actinomycetes; Micrococcales; Microbacteriaceae
Description: bacterial SSU rRNA
Rfam family: Bacterial small subunit ribosomal RNA
Source: RNAcentral